RNAcentral lists this ribosomal RNA (254 nucleotides) under uncultured bacterium. RNAcentral's name for it is "partial 16S ribosomal RNA". It matches the Rfam family "Bacterial small subunit ribosomal RNA", at positions 524 to 776 of the family's 1533-position model. The record is from RNAcentral.
UCCGUAGGGGGCGAGCGUUGUCCGGAUUUAUUGGGCGUAAAGAGCUCGUAGGCGGUUCGAUAAGUCGGACGUGAAAUCUCCACGCUCAACGUGGAGGGGCCGUUCGAUACUGUCGUGACUCGAGUCCGGUAGGGGAGUGUGGAAUUCCCGGUGUAGCGGUGAAAUGCGCAGAUAUUAGGAAGAACACCAGUGGCGAAGGCGGCUCACUGGCUCGGUACUGACGCUGAGGCGCGAAAGCGUGGGGAGCAAACAGG